Molecule: unclassified non-coding RNA, 338 nt
Filed under: Hevea brasiliensis (rubber tree)
Lineage: Eukaryota; Viridiplantae; Streptophyta; Magnoliopsida; Malpighiales; Euphorbiaceae
Source: RNAcentral
AAUGGCAGUUGCAACAACUGAUUCGGUUUGGAAAUCACGGCCUUCUGGCCUCUGAUUCGAAGUUUGGAACUAAUAAAUUAAAGUAUCCUAUUCGCAGUCUUGUUGUGUUCAACUCAGACAACAAGGCUAUACCGGUGGCAUGGAUAAUAACACCUAGAUUUGCAAGUGGAGAUACACUUAGAUGGAUGAGGGCCCUAUAUAACAGAGUUCAUAUGAAAGAUCCUACGUGGAAGUUGGCUGGAUUCAUUGUGGAUGAUCCUUCAGCCGACAUCCUUGCAAUCAGGGAAGUGUUCCAGUGCUCUGUAUUGAUAUGCUUUUGGCGGGUUCGUCAUGCAUGG